CAUUCUGCCCCCACCCAUGCCACUCCCUGGGCUGUGGUUUUCUCUCUAAGAUGGGGGACCAGGGUAGAAUUCACCUCAGUAGGAUGAUGUGAACUACCAGUAGGAUGCUGGAUGAAGAAGGACUUAAAUUUUUUUUUUCCAACUAGCAGUGAUAAGAAUGAGCCCUGUGGUUCACGCCUGUAAUCCCAGCUCCUUGGGAGGUAGAGGUUGGAGGAUUGCAGCUUGAGCGCAGCUUGGGUAAAAGGUUAUUGAGACAUUCCCUCUCACCCAUCUCAAUCAUCAGCUGGGCGCGGUGUUCAUGCCUGUCACUCCAGCUUCUUAGGAGGCCGUAGUUAGAAGGAUUGCCAUCCAGGAAAGCCUAGGUGAACACACUCAGGCCUUACCUCAACUAUGACAAGGGCAAAGAGGGCUGGAGGCGUGUCUCAGGUGGCAGAGCACCUGCCUGGCAAUCACAAGGCCCCUGAGUUCAAAUCCUACUACCACUGUGUGUGUGUGUGUGUGUGUGUGUGUGUGUGUGUGUGUGU
This is a long non-coding RNA of Perognathus longimembris pacificus (Pacific pocket mouse), 524 nucleotides long. RefSeq lists it as uncharacterized. NCBI's taxonomy places the organism in Eukaryota, Metazoa, Chordata, Mammalia, Rodentia, Heteromyidae. The transcript is spliced from 3 exons. The record is from RefSeq and is a predicted model, not a curated record.